Molecule: ribosomal RNA, 119 nt
Organism: Callithrix jacchus (white-tufted-ear marmoset)
Lineage: Eukaryota; Metazoa; Chordata; Mammalia; Primates; Cebidae
Source: Ensembl
GUCUAUGGCCAUACCACCCUGAACAUGCCUGAUCUUGUCUAAUCUUGGAAGCUAAGCAGGGUUGGGCCUGGUUAAUACUUGGAUGGGAGACCGCGUGGGUAUACUGGAUGCUGUAGGCU